Molecule: long non-coding RNA, 1262 nt
Organism: Megalobrama amblycephala (Wuchang bream)
Lineage: Eukaryota; Metazoa; Chordata; Actinopteri; Cypriniformes; Xenocyprididae
Exons: 2
Source: RefSeq, a predicted model, not a curated record
UGAGGAUUAUAAUGCAGUUGUGUACGGAGAGUACGUGAGGGAGCUCCGAGAGGCACUUGUGGCAUACCUCAAGGGUUGUACAUCUAACAACCAAGGUGACAAAUACGAACUCCAGAAAAAGCGUUCGCAGGUGCAGAGCAUAGCCAAUAAUAUGGUGAACCAUAAUGUGUUUGUGGACCCAAUGGCCUGUGAUCGCUGGCUGAAAAAGGACCAAAACAAACAUGUGAAACAGUUCAAUGAGAUCAGAGCUGCAUUGAAGAAAAUGAUCCAGAACAUCCUGAAGGACUUCAAAGAAGUGUCUAAAAAGAUCAAAGGCUUUCGUGAGGGAAACAGCUGUAACAGCUAGAGACAUCAAGAGAUCUGUCUUCUGACCCGGAGUAAUCACUGGGAGGAGCUCUUCUUUCUGAAAUCAAUAAGCAAUGCUUUGGUUUUACCCACAUUCAGUUUUAAAUCACAUGAGCUAAUAAUAAUAAUUUAAACUCUCUUUGUAGGCCAGAUCAUUGCCUUGUUUAAUUAAACCCAACAGGGCUCUAUCAUCUAAAAACUCAAGUAUUUGACAAGAGACCGUACGAAGCCAUGGGACUCUUUUUAUAGUUAAAUAAGAAUAGUUGACCCAAAAAUGAGAAUCUGUUGAUACUUUACUCACUCGCAGACCAUUCAAGAUUCACAAACCUCAUUUCCACAGAAGAGGGACAUUAGAGAAAUUACAAUACACAAAAGAAAAGAUUGUAUGUUUGUAAUGUAUGAUGUGUUUUAUUUGUGUGUGUUGUGUGUUGAAGCCAAAGACAAAUUUAAACUCACAGAACUGAGCCUUCAAUUACAAUAUCCCAAAUAUCCCAACUUUUCUGGAAAUGGGGUUUGCAGAAUAAGUUUUGUUUGAUGUAUUGAAGCAUUUCUUGUGAUCUAAGGAUUCUCAAUAGCCUACUUAAUUUAUACCAUUUAUCAUUUAAUCAUUUCAUUGUUAUUAAUUUAUGUAAUUUUAUGUUUUUAUAUUUUAUCAUACUAAUUUCCUUUCUAUUGUUGUUUAAUCUUAUGAUUGUGUGGUUUGAAGGGAUGUUUGUCUUCAUGAGAAAGAGAAAAGAAAAUGUCUCCAUUUCAGGGUUUUUAACAUCACUGGACGAUGAUGUGAAGAAGUCAUUUUUCAUUGUUUUUCCCUUAAUAUAAUAACACUUGUUGGAUUUGUGAUGGUCAGAUGAAGUCUGAGCAUUAAAACAUACGCAACUAAGAUUAUUCAAUAAAGUCUGCUCUUUUUAUUCUCAUCA